RNAcentral lists this transfer RNA (67 nucleotides) under Vespula rufa. RNAcentral's name for it is "tRNA-Phe". Lineage: Eukaryota; Metazoa; Arthropoda; Insecta; Hymenoptera; Vespidae. The record is from RNAcentral.
AUUUAAAUAGCUUAAAUAUAGAGCAUAGUAUUGAAGAUACUAAGGUAACAAAAAUUGUUUUUAAAUA